UCCGUAGGGGGCAAGCGUUGUCCGGAUUUAUUGGGCGUAAAGAGCGUGUAGGCGGCCAGGUAGGUCUGCUGUGAAAACUCGAGGCUUAACCUCGAGCUGUCGGCGGAAACCAUCUGGCUAGAGUCCGGGAGAGGAGAGUGGAAUUCCUGGUGUAGCGGUGAAAUGCGCAGAUAUCAGGAAGAACACCCGUGGCGAAAGCGGCUCUCUGGAACGGUACUGACGCUGAGACGCGAAAGCGUGGGGAGCGAACAGG
RNAcentral lists this ribosomal RNA (253 nucleotides) under uncultured bacterium. Its description in RNAcentral is "partial 16S ribosomal RNA". It matches the Rfam family "Bacterial small subunit ribosomal RNA", at positions 524 to 776 of the family's 1533-position model. The record is from RNAcentral.